This 63-nucleotide ribosomal RNA is filed under the name Ramulariopsis gossypii. Its description in RNAcentral is "partial 28S ribosomal RNA". It matches the Rfam family "Eukaryotic large subunit ribosomal RNA", at positions 1 to 57 of the family's 3401-position model. Lineage: Eukaryota; Fungi; Ascomycota; Dothideomycetes; Mycosphaerellales; Mycosphaerellaceae. The record is from RNAcentral.
CAAGGUUGACCUCGGAUCAGGUAGGGAUACCCGCUGAACUUAAGCAUAUCAAUAAGCGGAGGA